GGUAUGCUAUUAAAACCCAUUAGUUAUAUUUCAACAAUUCCACAACUUUUUAGCACUCUUGAAUCUCAGCACGUCAUAGAUGGACAUUCAACAAGGGUGGAUAAGCGCAACUUUUUUUACAGCGUUCAUGGCACGCAAUGUCGGUGCCACAACCGACAUCGCAAUUCCGGUAACAUAUGAUCCGUUGGUCUACUUCAUUCGACAAGGGUGGGUAACCACAAGUUUUCUUACAACGUUCAUGGCAUGCAUUAUUAGUCUCACAGCCGACAUCGCAAUUCCGGUAACAUAUGACCCGUUGGUCUACUUGAUUCACCAAGGGUGGGUAACCACAACUUUUCUUACAACGUUCAUGACACGCAUUGUCAGUUCCACAACCCACAACGCAAUUCCGGUAACAUAUGACUCGUUGGUCUACUUCAUUGACACCUAUAAACAUCAUAAGAAUCAUUAUUUUUAACUUUAAUAUUAUAUCAGUCAAAUAAUUAUCAAAAUAACCCGAUAACUAUAGAUUUCGAUUAAUAGUUUUCGAAUUCAUGAUAUGAUUAUAAAUGUAGGGAAAUGCUUAUAUAAUAUAGAUUGCUAGUUCUAGCUACUUGUGUCGGAAUGCUGAAAGGAUGAAGGAAAAGCACAUCUGAAGACACAACUCGUGCAAGGUAUAGUUUUUAUGUUUUGACAUAAGGACUUGCAGACAGUUUCCUGACACUCGGUCAUAGUUUUUGCUCUCAC
Molecule: long non-coding RNA, 726 nt
Filed under: Brassica napus (rape)
Lineage: Eukaryota; Viridiplantae; Streptophyta; Magnoliopsida; Brassicales; Brassicaceae
Description: long non-coding RNA (BNAP_LNC020293)
Source: RNAcentral